This 216-nucleotide long non-coding RNA is filed under the name Homo sapiens (human). RNAcentral's name for it is "non-protein coding lnc-C1orf127-2:1". The record is from RNAcentral. Lineage: Eukaryota; Metazoa; Chordata; Mammalia; Primates; Hominidae.
GUGGUGGUGGCGGGGGGUGCCCGUCAGCACCAGUGGCCACUCCAGCCUCGUGGGCCGGAGCCAGGAGCACUGGGAGGGCCGGUCGUUGGAAGGCUCUGGCGUAGUGGAAGGUGUGGAGGCUCAGCAGAGCCACUGCCGAGUCUGAGUUCCAGUUCUGUGCCUCAUCCUAGCUGUGCUGCCUCGGGCAGGGAGCUUAAGUUUCUUUCUUUCUUUCCU